This is a small nuclear RNA of Dipodomys spectabilis (banner-tailed kangaroo rat), 107 nucleotides long. The record is from RefSeq and is a predicted model, not a curated record. NCBI's taxonomy places the organism in Eukaryota, Metazoa, Chordata, Mammalia, Rodentia, Heteromyidae.
GUGCUCAAUUAGGCAGCACAUACACUAAAAUUGGAACAAUACGCAGAAGAUUAGUAUGGCCCCUGUGGAAGGAUGACACACAAAUUCAUGAAGCGUUCCAAAUUUUU